Molecule: long non-coding RNA, 958 nt
Organism: Oreochromis aureus
Lineage: Eukaryota; Metazoa; Chordata; Actinopteri; Cichliformes; Cichlidae
Source: Ensembl
AAACAGGGUGAGGACAGACAGAAAUUCACUAACAUCAGUCGAGCUCAGGAGACAAUCAAGAUUUGAAGAUGAGCAUCCAAAAACAACAGAUGAAGUUGCUGCUUUUCAUCCUCUCACUGAUGACAGAUAAAAAUGGCUGCCCCAAACCAUUUUAUCAAACUGCAUACAGAAAUAAUAAUACCACCAUCACCUGUCAUUCUCCUGAUGGCAAAUACAAGCCCGCUUUUUUCUGCAAAGCAGAUAACUCCACUUGUCAGAAUGUUUUACCAAAAAGCCCUUCUCCACAGUCAAACUGGAGAAUCAUAUCAACAAACACCAGCAGCAGCAUUUCCAUCAGUCAUGUGUCCUCACAGGAUGCUGGAGUCUACUGGUGUGGAGUGAAAUCAAGUGACAAAGAGUUUUUACUUCGACAAAUACAUCUAGAGGUUAAAGAUGGCUUGGAGGUUAUCAUCGGUGUUACUGUGUCUGUAGCUGUGCUCCUGCUGUUUCUGACAGCUUUGAUCCUCAUCUACAAACGAAAUGGUGCAGCAGGACGGCAUGUCAAAGAGGACUGUAUCUGUGAGGAGAGACAGGAGAACCUGCAGAAGCCAGAAAAUGCAGUGAACUCGAUUUCCAUCAGUGCCAAUAAUCCCAUAAACCACACUGCCUCGCCACAUUACGCUGCCAUCAACUUUCAAGUGAGGUCUGAAAAAGCUGGCGGUGGGAUACUCAAACCCAGCUCUGCUGCCUGUGAGUAUUCUGCUGUGAAGUUCAGCAAAUGUCCAGACAACCUGACUGUGACCCAACCACACAGACUGGUGAAGUAGAUUCUCCACUUAUCAGCAAGAUAAAGCCAAAACCAUAAAAGAUCAGCUCUGUGAGGAAUAUGUCUGUUGUAAAAUGUUAAAAAUUAGCAAGGAAUCAUGUGAUUAACUUUGGGUUUCAGGAUUUAAACCAAGCUAUUCAGAUGAAAGUCUGA